This 691-nucleotide ribosomal RNA is filed under the name uncultured Vagococcus sp. Its description in RNAcentral is "bacterial SSU rRNA". It matches the Rfam family "Bacterial small subunit ribosomal RNA", at positions 822 to 1515 of the family's 1533-position model. Lineage: Bacteria; Bacillati; Bacillota; Bacilli; Lactobacillales; Enterococcaceae. The record is from RNAcentral.
GUUAGGGGGUUUCGCCCCUUAGUGCUGCAGCUAACGCAUUAAGCACUCCGCCUGGGAGUACGACCGCAAGGUUGAAACUCAAAGAAAUUGACGGGGGCCCGCACAAGCGGUGGAGCAUGUGGUUUAAUUCGAAGCAACGCGAAGAACCUUACCAGGUCUUGACAUCCUUUGACCACUCUAGAGAUAGAGCUUUCCCUUCGGGGACAAAGUGACAGGUGGUGCAUGGUUGUCGUCAGCUCGUGUCGUGAGAUGUUGGGUUAAGUCCCGCAACGAGCGCAACCCUUAUUGUUAGUUGCCAUCAUUAAGUUGGGCACUCUAGCGAGACUGCCGGUGACAAACCGGAGGAAGGUGGGGAUGACGUCAAAUCAUCAUGCCCCUUAUGACCUGGGCUACACACGUGCUACAAUGGACAGUACAAUGAGCAGCGACACUGCGAAGUGAAGCGAAUCUCAUAAAGCUGUUCUCAGUUCGGAUUGUAGGCUGCAACUCGCCUACAUGAAGCCGGAAUCGCUAGUAAUCGCGGAUCAGCACGCCGCGGUGAAUACGUUCCCGGGCCUUGUACACACCGCCCGUCACACCACGAAAGUUUGUAACACCCGAAGUCGGUGAGGUAACCGCAAGGAGCCAACCGCCUAAGGUGGGAUAGAUGAUUGGGGUGAAGUCGUAACAAGGUAACCAAGGGCGAAUUCUG